UCUAGAAAAUUUUAGAAUUUAUUUAGAAUUUAUUAGAAAAUUUUACAACAAUUUUUAAGACUUUGGUAAAAUGAAUUUUACCACCUUAGAAGUCAUUAUGAAGAAAUGAAGCAAGAUUUAAAGGCCAUGUGAAGUUUCUAGCUUAAUAGGGUAUUUUUAAAAAUCAUACUGAAGUCAAAAAUAAAAAAAAAUAUUAAUUUUACCAGUAGAUAGUAAGAAGACCAAUAGUUAGUCUAGUCCUUCUAAGAAAGGAGGUGUACUAGUUUCAUAUGGAUUGUAGCAGCUUGGAUGUAGGUAGGACGAUAAGACUAAGGCCUUGUGGCCUUUCUAGAAUAUCUUAAUACACUACUUAUGAGCCUUGGUGAAGUUCAAACUUUUGAUAUCUUAAGCAAGUUAUCCUUAAGGUAGAAAUUAUUCAUUUAAUUUUUUUAUUACUUACAUUCUACCUUUAAACUAUCAUAACUUAUUCAUUACAUUUAGAUUUUUAAUGUCAUUGAAAAGAAAAAAAUACCUACUUUAAAAUAUAUUUUUAUUUUUAUUUUUUAUUUGAUAAAAAUCUAAUGAAUAGAUUGUGAUAAGUAUUCUUGAUAUGUACAAUUCUUUUUCUUUUUUUUCUUUUUUCUUUUUUUUACUUAUUUCACUUAUUUUGUGUUGCUCUUCUUUUAUUCUUAUUAAUAGCUUCUUCUACUUUAUACCACCAAUUAUAAAUAAUUCUUAAUUGAAGCAAUCAUUUGAUUUGGAGUGUGGUAAAUUAUACCUUAACAACAUUAUUUAUGAACCAUGGUGAGGCUCAAAUCCUUGAUUUCUUAAAAAGUCUUUCUUUAUGCAAAAAAUAUUUAAUUAAAUAUUUUUAAUUUAAAUAUUUUAUCUCUAAACCUUCAUAACUUAUUAGCAAUGAUGUAAAUUUAUAUAUUUUCUGUAUUAUUAAAAAAUAAUUAUAGUUUUAAAAUUUUAUUUUUAUUUUUAUUUUUAUGGGAUAAAAAUCCAAUACAAAAAUUGUAAAAAAAAUUUAAAGUAUAUAAUUAUUUGAUUACAUUUCUUUUACUUGUUUCUUUCUUUUUUUAAAAUUUUUUUUAUUAGCUAUAUUUUUUACUUCACACCAAUACUUACCAAAAAAUCUCAAUUAAAACCAUCUCAUAAUUUAAAUUGAGGAGUGAAUUUUACCUUUACAUAAUGGUGAAUAUGCUUAGAAGUUGUGUUUCUAAUUGUGUGUAUAAAUGUGAAUUGCUUGCAUUAGUUAUUGACCAUCUUACUUGGACUUGUUGAAUGAAAAUUGAUAUUUCUUUUAAAUCAAUUGUAAGUUCUCUAAUUCUCUCUUCAUUUACAAUGACAAGCCAUGCAAUCCUUGAACUUUAAAAUCUAAUCAAUAAUUCAAUUGUUGAGUCAAAUAAAUACAAAGGAUCUUGAAUUUUUUCAAUCCAUUGUUGCAUAUUUAGAGUUUGAAUUUGAAAACAAAAUCAAUUAAUCUUUUAUUUUGUUAGUUUUUUUAAAGUCUUAAAUAAAAUUAAAAUUUAUAAUAAAAUUCUAAAUAGCAUAAAAUUUUAUUAUUACAAAAAGUCAAAUAAAUACUUACAAAAGCUUUAUAUAUUCAAUCUUUUAUUUUAAAAAAUCAUACUUGUAAAAUUUCAUUUACUAAAAUAAUUUAAUAUAGUCAUAAAAGUCUAAUAAUAUAUAAUAUUAUAUAUUCUUUAAUCAAAUUUUUUAUUUCAGAAUUAUCAUGGUUAAAAAUAUUGAUCCUUAAGUAAAUUUGAUAUUUUAAAUUAUUAUAGUUUUUUAUUUUAUUUUUUAAAUUAUUUUUUGAAAAUAUAUAUGUAUACAUAUAUUAAAUCUAGAUAAAUAAAUUUUUAUUCUUUAAAUUUUAAAAAAUUAUAUAAAUUACAA
This 1881-nucleotide long non-coding RNA is filed under the name Physcomitrium patens. Its description in RNAcentral is "long non-coding RNA (PPAT_LNC007882)". Lineage: Eukaryota; Viridiplantae; Streptophyta; Bryopsida; Funariales; Funariaceae. The record is from RNAcentral.